Molecule: long non-coding RNA, 878 nt
Organism: Fukomys damarensis (Damara mole-rat)
Lineage: Eukaryota; Metazoa; Chordata; Mammalia; Rodentia; Bathyergidae
Exons: 3
Source: RefSeq, a predicted model, not a curated record
CCAAGUUUUUCUGGUUGUUCUGCUGUGAGGCCGAGCCACACGUGGACGAGAGGAGGGGCCUGGGAGUGCUGGUCACAGGUUUUCGUUGGAGGGGGGGACAGCUCUAGCUUCCCACAGUCUGACAUUUAACCUGCUCCUGAUCAGGUGUCUCCCCCUAAUAUUUGAUGGCUAUAGAUGCUAUGCUGGGAGAACUGGGCCAGCUUUCUUCCCUACCUGCCAGGCUGCAGAUCAGAACCAGCCUGGACUCUGGCUUACAGACCCUCAGUGGUAACAGACACAUUUGUGUCCACAGGCAUAGGAGAGUUAAAUAUCUGGGUGUGGUGGGGCUAUUACCUCCAGGGCUCAGUGGAUGCAUUUACAGCUGCAGUCCUCAGCCCCACAGCUUCUGUUGAACCAAGCCUGCCUCUCCUCCAUUGUUAACAGCUCAGCAUCUUUCCCUGGCUUCUUGCUGGGUCUGUCUGCGCCCCCACCCCCAAUGGCGGCUCUGUUCUGUGAGCCGGGUGGAAAGAUCAGGGGAUGGCUGAUGGUCAUUGACAUCAGUACAGGAUCAUAUGGGCCUACAGAAGGCUGCAUCUGUGGCUGUCAAUAGAUCUCCAUUGAAUUCACAAUAACAAAGGGGCAAAGAAGCAGGACAAUGCCCGAGUUACUAGCCCAUCGUCACUGGCCCAUGAAGUGACAAAAACUAUAGAAAUCUUUGUCUCAGAUCCUUCCAAGAUCCCCCUUUUCCUGAGAGAAGACAGAACUGCCAAGUGCGCUGCCUACUGAGGACAGCUUGGUGAACUGCAAAUGCCACAGCUGCUCCUCCUGAUGGCAUGGUGAGGUUGGCACCUAGGAGGCUUCACCUGGUCCUUCCUGAGCCUGCCCUGCCAGUUUCUCUG